RNAcentral lists this ribosomal RNA (504 nucleotides) under uncultured bacterium. RNAcentral's name for it is "bacterial SSU rRNA". It matches the Rfam family "Bacterial small subunit ribosomal RNA", at positions 28 to 505 of the family's 1533-position model. The record is from RNAcentral.
GACGAACGCUGGCGGCGUGCCUAAUACAUGCAAGUCGAACGGUCUUUUCUAUGGAAGCUUGCUUCCACUGAGAAGAUAGUGGCGAACGGGUGAGUAACACGUGGGUAACCUGCCCAUAAGAGGGGGAUAACAUCCGGAAACGGGUGCUAAUACCGCAUAGUUUUCUUGAUCGCAUGAUUGAGAAAGGAAAGACGGCCUUUGUGCUGUCGCUUAUGGAUGGACCCGCGGCGUAUUAGUUAGUUGGCGAGGUAAUGGCUCACCAAGACGAUGAUACGUAGCCGACCUGAGAGGGUGAUCGGCCACAUUGGGACUGAGACACGGCCCAAACUCCUACGGGAGGCAGCAGUAGGGAAUCUUCCGCAAUGGACGAAAGUCUGACGGAGCAACGCCGCGUGAGUGAAGAAGGUUUUCGGAUCGUAAAACUCUGUUGUCAGAGAAGAACAAGUUGGAGAGUAACUGCUCCAGCCUUGACGGUAUCUGACCAGAAAGCCACGGCUAACUACG